Long non-coding RNA from Gallus gallus (chicken), 438 nucleotides. Lineage: Eukaryota; Metazoa; Chordata; Aves; Galliformes; Phasianidae. The record is from Ensembl.
GUUCUGGAGAAAGGGACAUGAGGGAGCUCCAGAACAAAAGCAACCAGGUGACACUGCCAGAUGGUAAAAUCUCACACAAACAAAACCAGAAGUGCCUGUACGCCGCAUGGAGCUAACAAAGAGCCUACUCCAAGGUGUUACCUGGUGUAAUGAAACCAGAUGUUUCCAUCGGAAUAGGCCUCCCUCAUUUGAAAUGUGUUGCUGCAAUAGCCUGAUUUGUAUAUCCAUCAGCUCAAAGUGAAGAAGAAAAAGAGCGGUUGGGGAUGUUAGGUAAGUUCAGAUUUUGAGUACAGAAUGGAAAGUGCCACCUGUUGUCUCCUCCUUUCUGAUUGUAUGUAACUUUGAAAUAUCCCUAUUGUUCCAGCUUUGAGUAAUUCAGCAGGCUGGCCAGCUCUGCAAAGCAUGAGGAGAGUAAUGAACACAGGCACAGACUUACAC